Molecule: long non-coding RNA, 2280 nt
Filed under: Homo sapiens (human)
Lineage: Eukaryota; Metazoa; Chordata; Mammalia; Primates; Hominidae
Description: non-protein coding lnc-CNBD1-4:19
Source: RNAcentral
CCAGUAAAUAUGAUACAGCUAUUCCAGUGUCCAAAACUAUCCCAAAUCUGAAACACUUCUGGUCCCACCCAAGCAUUUCAGAUAAGGAAUACUCAACUCAUAAUUGGUGAUUACCUGCACAGUUAGUAGAUGGACUGAGUACUAUCCAACUAGACAUGCUGAUGCCACAUGGUAGUAAUGAAAAAAAAAAUUGAGAUUAUUCUUCAUUUUGGCAUUACUUAAUGUAUUAAAUCAGACCAAGGAACUCACUUAACAACAGAAGUAAAUCACAUGUUCACAAAAACUCUAGGAUAGUCAUUAAAAUUCUAUACUCUUUACCAUCCUCAGUCCUCAGAGAGGUGGAAUGUGAUAAUUUAGACAGCAAAAGAACUAUAAAAUAUGUCAGUACAAUAGACCUAAGUGGCCAGAAGCAUCACCCCUGACCCCAAUAAAAUCUGGAAAACCCCAAACAAGAGAGAUGGAUUAACUGCUUUUUGAAUAAUUUUUGAUAGCUUUAUGCCUAUUAGCAUCUCCAAACUUUUUGUUCCUGAAGUGAGUGAGCAUUAUGGGGACCUGAGUGAAAGGUUCAGUAUUAUGACUAGAUAUCUAAAAGAACUAUCUCUUGUACUUGGAGCUUACCAUUAACAGGCAAAAAAGUCAUGGCCAUUGUCUACCAACAAGCUUUCUAUCCCUUUUGACCAAGCUAUCAAGUAUACAUCAAAAUUUUGACAAGAAAGCAUACACUGUCAUCUUUCUGGGAAGUACCUUGUGAAGCAUUGCUGAACACCUACAUGGCCAUCAAAAUAAAAAGAAAUAUUUCCUGGAUUCAUGCAAGUCAUGCCAAGCUAGACCCAGAUCAUAAUUUCCAGAAAAAUUGAAAAGCUAUUCUUACAGCUGACUUCAAACCAAGGAUUUUCAGGGCCAAUUCACAGGGUCCCAAAGCAGAUGACAACAUAAAGUGGACUAUUUUUUCCAAUAUCUUGGAUCAAGAACUACCUUUCCACCUAUUUUCCCUUGAUAUCUUUCUCUUCUCUGACCAAAGGAAAAAAAAGUAAAUAAAAACCUUAAAAACCUCUUUGAGCUUUAAACAGAAACCUUCCCCUUUAUUUAUUGAUGGACUGUCUAGAGAUUGCUACUUUUUUCUUCUUCUGUUUCUUCACAAUGAGAUAUUUUCUAAACUGUGUCUUGCUUCAACUAACCCUUAUGGCUUUUUUUGACAAUUCUAGCAUAAAUCCAGCACCUACUCGCGCCAGUCUUCUAAACACUGGCAACUUUCAUCAAUCCGAAUUUUGGUUAUGUCAACAUAUCGGUAUACAGAAGAAGCUAACUAGUUUUUGUUUCUGCCAAUGCAAACACCUGGUGGACACAGACUGGACUAUGGAUGUACAAAAGGGUAUGGUAUCUACAAACAGGAAGACAAAAAUCAUGCCACCUCUCUUUCUGGUAAACUGAUUUGGCGCUUGGAAAAUUCCAUGGAAGCUCAAGUUCUAUUCUUUGUUCAGGUGAUGUUAUUGAAUGGACAAAUUUCCCUUUUCAUUGGAAACAGAAAUGGUACUGGACCCUUUCUAGAUCUCUUGCCUCACAGCUUCUAACCCAAAUCUUAUUUCUACAGCAACCAACACAGCUUCUCGUUUGUAAAACUUCUCAAGAUGUUUCAAAAUGGAAGAAAUACCAAAACCCACAAAGAAUCCUUGAGUUGGUAUGGUUAUUUUUAGUUGAGGACAUUUGAGAUUCCACAGAUGCAGAAAAGAAUCUUCUCAGAGCUUCCUUCUUCUGAUUAAAAGCAGCCACUUCUGGGAAAUAAGGCUGGCAUAAAUCCUCUCUUGAGAGUGGCUUUACUCCCAGAAACAAGACCAAGGGUAAAUCUACCAUAAAUCCCCUCUCCAGGGGAGUUUGAUGGCCAUAAAGAAGAUGAAAAGAGUUCUCACACCUGCAUAAACAAAUGUUAUCACAAACUUUCUUAUCUCUUGUUUGUUCUCCCAAAAAACUAUUUGUCUUUCCUAAAGAAAUCCAUUUGUUUUCCUUAUAGAAGUCUUUUCUCCCGGCUUGCUUCUCCUAUUAAGUUAGAUAUAUAAACUUCUAAUUUAACUUUUAGGAAACUACUUCUUUUGUAAGCUCUUGUAUGCAAAUAAACUGUUUUAUUCUCUUGUUAAUGUGUAUUUUCACAGCAUAUCCUCCACCCAGAUCCUGAAUUUGAGAGGGUAGAGGAAAAGUUUUCCUCUCCAACACUUUCGUUCUCUGUCAAUGGCUUCACUGGAUUGCUAGUCUUCCUAUUAAAAGCGGCAAUUUAUUCUUCCAAAG